Molecule: long non-coding RNA, 2126 nt
Organism: Sinocyclocheilus rhinocerous
Lineage: Eukaryota; Metazoa; Chordata; Actinopteri; Cypriniformes; Cyprinidae
Exons: 2
Source: RefSeq, a predicted model, not a curated record
UUCGGUCUCCUCCUCUGAGAAUAGCAUGGAGGCUGCCCUCAGCCUGCUAAUGAUCCCGGAUAACCGUGUAAACCUGGCUUUGCCACCAAAGCUUUAACCUAGACAUGCAUCAACAUCAGCAUCGUUAUAAUACUUGUGGAUGCAGUGAUCCAUUUCCACACAAGCAUAUUUGUGUUUUGUUUUUUGCCUAACCUUCUAAAAUUUCCAUACCAGACGCACCAAAGGGCAAACUGUGAAGCAAUUUCUCCUCUGCACGCUAAACACUUUAACAAAAAUGCACAUGAAUUCAACUUCGUUUGCUUUCCGACGAGCAGAGGAUGAGAGCAAAGUCAAAUGAGGACAAACUUUCGCAGCAAAAUUCAAGCCAAGCACAAGCUAGCACAGUAUGGAUCCAGUGCUGUGAAAAUGUUUUUGUGGCACAUGAGCAGGCUCCCAUACACAUUCAUAAACUCAUUUUAAUACCAAGUCAGCAGCACAGAUUACCUCCCAUUUCAAUAGCGUACAGCCGCUUUAUGGUUGAUUCUGUUAUUGUUUUGUUGUUCGUGAGCGCAUUCGUUUUGAACAUUUGCACUAAAAUACACCUAAUUUACUUGAUAAUUGUCUCCUGUCCACUGAGGAACGUUUUAAUUGCCGAGUCUCGGAGAGAAAGGACAGCGGGGGAGGGAACGACGACGUGCAAUCUGGAUUUCAAAGCUAGUAGCGACCCUGACUGGCGAGAAAAGCCAUCCACCCAUCGCCGUUUCUCCUUCCCGUUGAAUGCCGUCAAUUUUGUUUGCAUCUUUUUUUUUUUUUCGUCCACAGUACAAAGAUGUGAAGUUCUUUUACCUUAUUCAGUAUCUUAGUCUUAACUGCAGAAUUGUCUUCUGUCGCCUGAUUGCCAAAACGUUAGCCAAAGAAGAAACAACGGUUAGCUCUCUGUCAUUUUAAAUUCACAUCGUAAGAACAUUCCCUUUUGAUUUGAUCCAUACAGUCCCUGAAUUGUUUUUAGCAUAGCAGCUCAAUCGAUUGAUUGCCUAAUGGUACCGUAUCAGCUCAGCUGACAUCUGGAACUCCCCUACACUAACAUACUGAGAGUUUCUGCUUUUCUUUGCCAGCCCUUGAGGGACACUAUAGCAGCUUCCCUGCACUGUUGACCUGGAUGAAGUUGCCUACAUUUGACCACUUUCAGGAGGAUUUAACUAUGAUGACUAGACCGUUUUAACUUUAGUAGAUGGUUUGUUCACCUCUAACUACUGUUCAUUGCCGUGCUGCCUGGCAGCGUAGCCACCCAUAGCUGUCAAGCUCGGGUUCUCUGGUGUCAUUCCCACCUCCCUUCAGGCUUCUGCAGUGUGUGGUUCAGGCUUAUUCUGGCAUUUUUAGCUUUCAUUAACUGCGCUGGAAGGCCGUCAGUGGUGUUUUUAAUAUAUUUUACCCAUAGCUUUUGGUAAUUUAAAAGGAAGAUAUUAACAUUGUGCCUCAUCUCCCACCGAGCCUGUCUUGACCUUUUCUCUAUAAAUGAAAUCGUUUGAAAAACUGCUUUGUGUAUGUCUGAGCAUGUAAAGCUAAAUUGAUAGUUAAAGUCUUUUUUUGAAAAUCGUACCUGAAUAUUAGAGGAACUAAGGAAAAACUGACUCAUUGAGUAUUGAAAGGAUAGUACUAUGCGAGUUUAUUUCCGCCAUGGAAACACAACAAAAAUUGUGACGUUUGAAUUACACAAUUUUGACUUUUUCCUCACAAUUAUGUGAAAAAGUCAAUUGUGAGAUGUACACUCAGAAUUCUGAGAAAAAAAAGUCAAUUGCAAGAUGUAAACUUGCAAUUAUAAGUUUAUAACUCGAAAUUGUGAGAUGUCAACUCACAAUGCUGAGGAAAAAAAUUAGAAUUGUGAGAGAUAAACUCACAAUUUGUACAAAAAAGGUCAAAAUUGCAAUGCAGAUAUUAAGACGCAAUUACCUUUUUAAUUUUUUUUUUAUUCCUUGGUGGAAAUAAGCUUCCAUGGUUUACUCUGUUCAAAAUGCAGCAUAUGAAAAAAUUAUGUUAGGAGUCAAAAAUAAAUCGGAACAUGUAGAUGGCCCUUCAUGAUUUGGGGUUCACUAAAAGUGGUUGUGGUGUUUCUAUCAAAAUACAACCUGUACUUUAAAAAAAAAAAA